AACGGCAAAGCCCUCGCCUCAUUUUCUUCUGUCUAAUUUCCUCCGCAGCUUUGCUAGGGUUUUGGAAGAAAAGAGAGGCAGAAGAAUUCCAAACUCAUCACCAUGAGGGCCAAGGUAACUCCUCUAUCUCCGUUUCAUAAAUUUAUCAUUUUUUGUAUUGAUUUUAGCUCAUUUAUUGAAUUUACCAUUUUCCAUAAAUGGAUAACGAAAUUGAUCGUUUGAAAUUGGAUAUGUUUUUGUAGUGGAAGAAGAAAAGAAUGAGGAGGUUGAAGAGGAAGCGUCGAAAGAUGAGACAGAGAUCUAAGUAAUUUAUUUCUGUUAGUCAUCAAUACCCCUCCUACAGGCUCUCAGUACUGUUCUAGCUUUUAGGCUCUGUUUCAGUUUUUUGUAUUUGUUUGCUUAUCCUAAGUACUUUUUAUUCGAUUCCGG
Molecule: long non-coding RNA, 429 nt
Filed under: Panax ginseng (ginseng)
Lineage: Eukaryota; Viridiplantae; Streptophyta; Magnoliopsida; Apiales; Araliaceae
Description: long non-coding RNA (PGIN_LNC010184)
Source: RNAcentral